Molecule: long non-coding RNA, 234 nt
Filed under: Linum usitatissimum (flax)
Lineage: Eukaryota; Viridiplantae; Streptophyta; Magnoliopsida; Malpighiales; Linaceae
Description: long non-coding RNA (LUSI_LNC000710)
Source: RNAcentral
UUGGAUUGAUGUGAAAUGUGAUGAAUUGUGUAGUAGUUCGGGAGUUCAUGAAUUGUCUCGAUUUUGGGAGAGUGGGAUUAGGGAAUUAGGUUGGGGGUUUUGUUCAAGUGAUAUUCUUGUGUUGGGUUCUGCCGUGGUUCCGUUUGUGUUGAUCUAUCCGAGAAUUGGACUUCCACCGAAUGCAGCCAUUGAUCUUCCCACCCCUAAGACGAUUCUAGCGAGGUUGAGUCUCGA